Molecule: long non-coding RNA, 223 nt
Organism: Sinocyclocheilus anshuiensis
Lineage: Eukaryota; Metazoa; Chordata; Actinopteri; Cypriniformes; Cyprinidae
Exons: 3
Source: RefSeq, a predicted model, not a curated record
GCUGAUGUUGUUUCUGAUGUAAAGAACUCCUGGAUCAGAAAGUUAGUUGGGUUCACUGUGCUGAAGCCCACAGAGAGAUAUGGGCAUGUGCUCUGUGGAUGGAUCGCAGGACGGGAGUCUGAGUACAUGGAAACUCUGUCUGAACAUGAAGUUCUGCACAGUGCCACACAGCUCCUGCGCAUAUUUACUGGAAAUCCAACUAUUACACCAAGGAAGCUUUUAA